RNAcentral lists this ribosomal RNA (465 nucleotides) under uncultured ammonia-oxidizing bacterium. Its description in RNAcentral is "bacterial SSU rRNA". It matches the Rfam family "Bacterial small subunit ribosomal RNA", at positions 198 to 644 of the family's 1533-position model. The record is from RNAcentral.
GGAGGAAAGUAGGGGAUCGCAAGACCUUGCGCUUUUGGAGCGGCCGAUGUCUGAUUAGCUAGUUGGUGAGGUAAAGGCUUACCAAGGCGUCGAUCAGUAGCUGGUCUGAGAGGACGACCAGCCACACUGGGACUGAGACACGGCCCAGACUCCUACGGGAGGCAGCAGUGGGGAAUUUUGGACAAUGGGGGAAACCCUGAUCCAGCCAUGCCGCGUGAGUGAAGAAGGCCUUCGGGUUGUAAAGCUCUUUCAGCCGGAACGAAACGGUCACGGUUAAUACCCGUGACUACUGACGGUACCGGAAGAAGAAGCACCGGCUAACUACGUGCCAGCAGCCGCGGUGAUACGUAGGGUGCGAGCGUUAAUCGGAAUUACUGGGCGUAAAGCGUGCGCAGGCGGUUUUGUAAGUCAGAUGUGAAAUCCCCGGGCUUAACCUGGGAACUGCGUUUGAAACUACAAAGCUAG